Molecule: long non-coding RNA, 1013 nt
Filed under: Haliotis rubra (blacklip abalone)
Lineage: Eukaryota; Metazoa; Mollusca; Gastropoda; Lepetellida; Haliotidae
Description: uncharacterized LOC124254293, transcript variant X1
Source: RNAcentral
UCAUUUAUCAAGAUAUCAAUACCAAUAUAUUAAAAUUAUGUUAAUAUGGUGAAUGUUAUUUCAUAAACGUUUUUUCCCCAAGCAAUAUUCAACAGAUGGAGAUGAAAGGGAUGAUAGCAGUACUGCCAGUGAUACAGCAGCUUCUACCCAUCUCAACAGGCAAAAUGAGAAGUGGACGUGGACAGUCCACACCCACAAGUCAUAUGCUGCCUGUGCCUCCAAACAUAAGCCCAGCUCCAUCUCAAAUGCCAGUGGUUACACCAAGUACAUCGUCAACCUUUGCUCGACAAGAAAACUUAAGGCCAAGCUCAUCAUCAACCCAUACUUACAAUCCAAUCCAUGGAAUGAACCUGCGUAUUCUAACGACACUAGAACAGGUUCGUGCAGAUGUCUCCUACCUUUCCCAGAAAAUGAACAGGGUCUUGGCACGUCUGGAUUCCAUGGAAGGCAUGGGCAAAAAACUUGACAAUCAGUUGCCAUCAGAAAUAUCACUGCCUGUUGAGGAUUUGGAGGCUUUAAACCAAGUUGAGAAGUUGCUCCUAAAUGAAUCUGUGAAAUCUCUGGUGUCCCGGCUAGGACUCAUGGGUGGUGAAACAGUUAAGGAAACAACCAUCCGCGUCAUGGUACAUGCAAUCUCGCAUUAAUUGGCCUUACAGCUUAACUGGAUGGGCAAAGGAGGAAAAACGGCUUUCUCCAAUCUACGUCUGAAAGAUGUUGUGUUCAAUAUCCCAGUCGUUGACACCCAUCCUAGAGGUACAGACACGCCCUGAAGAGAGAUAACACAGCUGCCACUGCUGAACGGGUAAUGUUGUAGAUGGGGCCUUUGGUGUUUUCAAAUCAAGAUUCAGGUACGGAUUACGAGGCACGAGUGACAGGCUAUCGUCCAAGAAAGGUACCAACCAAGGAUUUCGAUCUAUCCAUCACAAGAAAGAAGCGAUUCCGUCGGGUAUCAGAAACUGAUACUGAUGAGGUAAUUACCCGCAAUGAAAAUAGAGACACUACCAACAAACACC